Molecule: ribosomal RNA, 1486 nt
Filed under: metagenome
Description: bacterial SSU rRNA
Rfam family: Bacterial small subunit ribosomal RNA
Source: RNAcentral
AGAGUUUGAUCCUGGCUCAGGAUGAACGCUAGCUACAGGCUUAACACAUGCAAGUCGAGGGGCAGCAUGGUCUUAGCUUGCUAAGACUGAUGGCGACCGGCGCACGGGUGAGUAACACGUAUCCAACCUGCCGUCUACUCUUGGACAGCCUUCUGAAAGGAAGAUUAAUACAAGAUGGCAUCAUGAGUCCGCAUGUUCACAUGAUUAAAGGUAUUCCGGUAGACGAUGGGGAUGCGUUCCAUUAGAUAGUAGGCGGGGUAACGGCCCACCUAGUCUUCGAUGGAUAGGGGUUCUGAGAGGAAGGUCCCCCACAUUGGAACUGAGACACGGUCCAAACUCCUACGGGAGGCAGCAGUGAGGAAUAUUGGUCAAUGGGCGAGAGCCUGAACCAGCCAAGUAGCGUGAAGGAUGACUGCCCUAUGGGUUGUAAACUUCUUUUAUAAAGGAAUAAAGUCGGGUAUGCAUACCCGUUUGCAUGUACUUUGUGAAUAAGGAUCGGCUAACUCCGUGCCAGCAGCCGCGGUAAUACGGAGGAUCCGAGCGUUAUCCGGAUUUAUUGGGUUUAAAGGGAGCGUAGAUGGAUGUUUAAGUCAGUUGUGAAAGUUUGCGGCUCAACCGUAAAAUCGCAGUUGAUACUGGAUAUCUUGAGUGCAGUUGAGGCAGGCGGAAUUCGUGGUGUAGCGGUGAAAUGCUUAGAUAUCACGAAGAACUCCGAUUGCGAAGGCAGCCUGCUAAGCUGCAACUGACAUUGAGGCUCGAAAGUGUGGGUAUCAAACAGGAUUAGAUACCCUGGUAGUCCACACGGUAAACGAUGAAUACUCGCUGUUUGCGAUAUACGGCAAGCGGCCAAGCGAAAGCGUUAAGUAUUCCACCUGGGGAGUACGCCGGCAACGGUGAAACUCAAAGGAAUUGACGGGGGCCCGCACAAGCGGAGGAACAUGUGGUUUAAUUCGAUGAUACGCGAGGAACCUUACCCGGGCUUAAAUUGCAGAUGAAUUACGGUGAAAGCCGUAAGCCGCAAGGCAUCUGUGAAGGUGCUGCAUGGUUGUCGUCAGCUCGUGCCGUGAGGUGUCGGCUUAAGUGCCAUAACGAGCGCAACCCUUGUUGUCAGUUACUAACAGGUUCUGCUGAGGACUCUGACAAGACUGCCAUCGUAAGAUGUGAGGAAGGUAGGGAUGACGUCAAAUCAGCACGGCCCUUACGUCCGGGGCUACACACGUGUUACAAUGGGGGGUACAGAGGGCCGCUACCACGCGAGUGGAUGCCAAUCCCCAAAACCUCUCUCAGUUCGGACUGGAGUCUGCAACCCGACUCCACGAAGCUGGAUUCGCUAGUAAUCGCGCAUCAGCCACGGCGCGGUGAAUACGUUCCCGGGCCUUGUACACACCGCCCGUCAAGCCAUGGGAGCCGGGGGUACCUGAAGUGCGUAACCGCGAGGAGCGCCCUAGGGUAAAACUGGUGACUGGGGCUAAGUCGUAACAAGGUA